Long non-coding RNA from Mus musculus (house mouse), 259 nucleotides. RefSeq annotates it as predicted gene, 41001. The transcript has 2 exons. NCBI's taxonomy places the organism in Eukaryota, Metazoa, Chordata, Mammalia, Rodentia, Muridae. The record is from RefSeq and is a predicted model, not a curated record.
CUGAGUUCAAGGACAGGUAUCCCUGUGAAAGUGAAGAAAAGAGGAAUUAGGGAGAUGGAGACACAUGAGAGGUCAGCGUUGGAAUGACAUAGCCUGGGGAUGCCUGGAGCACAACAUGGUUUCAGAACGUUGGAGUCCAUAGCAGCAGGGAUUGCACGGCAACAGAUGUCAGGCCUGGCAGCAGAAGCAAGAUGCUUUGAGCUUACACCUUGAACCACAUCCACUAAGCAGAAAGACAAUUAGAAGUAUGUGAAAUUUC